RNAcentral lists this ribosomal RNA (253 nucleotides) under uncultured bacterium. RNAcentral's name for it is "partial 16S ribosomal RNA". It matches the Rfam family "Bacterial small subunit ribosomal RNA", at positions 524 to 776 of the family's 1533-position model. The record is from RNAcentral.
UACGUAGGGGGCAAGCGUAGUCCGGAAUCAAUGGGAGUAAAGCGCGUGUAGGCGGCUUCGUCAGUCCGUUGUGAAAGACCAGGGCUCAACCCUGGAAUGCCGAUGGAUACUGCGGAGCUCGAGUCCGGAAGAGGAGAGUGGAAUUCCUGGUGUAGCGGUGAAAUGCGCAGAUAUCAGGAGGAACACCAAUGGCGAAGGCAGCUCGCUGGGACGGUACUGACGCUGAGACGCGAAAGCGUGGGGAGCAAACAGG